Molecule: long non-coding RNA, 4975 nt
Organism: Lytechinus pictus (painted urchin)
Lineage: Eukaryota; Metazoa; Echinodermata; Echinoidea; Temnopleuroida; Toxopneustidae
Exons: 3
Source: RefSeq, a predicted model, not a curated record
AUGUCCGCAGCAACACUUCACGCUUUAGGAUAUAUUGGCGAUGUGCAAGACCUAGCUGUGGUGAAACAAUAAUUACAAAUCGGUUUGACAUUAAUCAUUCAAAUCCUGAUAUUGAUAUUCAAAGACAACCUCUUGGGGAUCACACACAUGAAUCCGAUGAUAACCAAAUUAGUCGCCGACAAUUUGUUGAUGAAACUACUGCAUUGAUUAGAAGUGAUCCAACUCUUACUAUAAGGAGAGCAUAUGACAUUGUUUCAGACAGACACCACCAUUCACCAGAUAUACAUGUACAUGUACCUGCAUUUAAAAGCAUCAGAAGCCGGCUUCGACGAGCCCGUUUGGCACACCCAUUUAGAAUUUAUCAACCAAUACCUAUGGCUAGUCAAAUUACUGAUGAUCAAGGUGAAAUAGAAAGCAGCGAACAAGUUGAGAUUAGAAUGGAUAGUUUGAAGUUACUUGUGAUGAAUGCAAGACAAGUGGUUCAGGUUUGUAAUGAUGGAGAGACAUGCCUUACUGGAGAUAACAUGAAAAGCCUGGCCAUAAUACAACAGAAUGACACAGAUGGUGUUGACAUCGUAGUUGGAAGAGAUGGGAAUAUCAUAGCAAUUGAUCACAGCAGUGUUAUCCAGAGUCAAUAUGGAACAUGUGAAUUUGAUGAGGUUCUUGAUGCUACUAAUAUGUGUGUAAUUCCAGGUGAGUUACGGUGGAUGGAUCCAGCAUAGUUGUGCAGGUGUAGCGGUGACACGACAUUUGCUCCUGUGACAAUAGCUCCGGUCUUAAUAUCUCAGGGGGCAUAGGGUUAGAGUUAGGAUUGUGAUAGAGUUUUUGGGUCAGAAUAAUGUUAAGAUAAGGAUUAGGGUUUAUUUAGUUUUGGAAGUAAGGUUUUAAGUUUGACUUUAUGUGCAGAUUUUCUAUCGGAGCAAUUGUCGUUGGAGAAAAUGUCAUGAAACCGGUGUAGCAGGAUUUCAUUUGGCUAGGGAGUGUCACAGGCCCAAUUCAUAAGCAAACAACAAAAUACUAUAGGAGAAAAGGUGAUUGCCUGAGUAGGGAAGGCGGGUUAGUUGAGCAUAGGGGCAAGUUAAGCCACCUGCCCCAGGACAAUAAUGAAUGAGUCAGACAUUGUGGUGGUGUCAUGUAUUGAUGACCCAUUGCAUAACCCCUAACCCCACCACAUUGUUUUCAACUUUGAAGCAAAAAGUACUUUUUUAGAGGGAAAAAUACAAAUUUCAGCCAAAAAAGUAAAAAAGGGUGUGAAAUAAAUAAGUGCUUUUUAUCCACACACGUCUUUAAAUAUAAUAAAGACAUAAGAACAACAUUGUUAGUCCAGGUAUGGAUUUCAUUCUUGUCAUAGUCUUUUACAUGAUGGAUCCAUAAGAAAUGUGUGAAUGCAAAAUUACAUUUAGUUUGGACUGGGGUAAGUUGAGCCAGCCAACAUGGGGCAAGUUGAGCCAUGGUAAUUCUUAUGGUAAUGUUUCUAUUAAAAAAAAAAAAAUUAAUAAGCCAUCGAUAUGCAUGCAGAAAGGAGCAAAUUUACAUUACUGAUCUUUUCCUUUAAGAGGAUGUAUUUAUAGAUAUAUUUGUAGAUAAUUAGCAAGUGAAAAGACUUUAAAUAAAAAAUUGACAUGCUGGUUCUUCCCCCAUACAUUUUGUACAUAGUUUUUGUGGCUCAACUUACCCCACAGAUGGGGAAAGUUGAGCCAUUUGACAUCUCUUUUUUCAAAGGUGACAAUGACUUUCAGUGUGGGGGUAGGAAGUUAUACAUAGGUGAAAAAUAUUUCAGAAGAAUUAAAUUUUAGGGCAAGAUUAUUUAUCAUAUCAAUUUUAACAUGCAAAAAGCAAAAAGUGUCACAACUUACCCUGCCUUCCCUUACUGUUCACACAACAAAUUAUGAUGUAGAAAAUGGACUGGAAUUGCUUCAAUAUUUUCAAUUCAAUUCAAUUUAUUAAUUAGAUUAAAAUCAUGUGAGUAGAUAUAUACAAUGUGAGGAUCAAACACCCUGGAAAGGCAGUUGCUUAAAAAAAGGGGAUCCAUUUUAGUGAUACAAAUGCAAAUACAGUUUUAAUGAAAACAACGAGUUAUAGUGGGUAUAUUACUCAAAACAAGUUACGAUACUUACAGUACAUGACAAAACAAAAAAUAUUACAACUCAAUUGAAUGAUUACAAAUCGUUUAUAAUAAUUUCAACAUAGUUCAUAUCCAUGAAUAAUAUAAAUAUUUUUUCAGGAAAAAAAAUAAUUCAAAAAAAAUUAAAGUUCUUAGCUGGUUUCAAUCGAUUGGAGCCCAUUCAAGAAUACGACUUGCUCAGAGAAUGCAAACAAAUUGGCCCAAAUUCACAAAGGUGGUUUUGAAAACCCACGGUUGAGUCCAUGGUUUAUGCAGAUUUCCUGUAUAAAUUACGCUUAUUUUACCGCGUAUGAUGAAAAAUGUCCAAUGCUGAUGCGCGCUUUUGCCACAGUGCGCCAAAUUGACACCUGUUGCCGUGGUUAUCCAUGCUAUUUUAUUAAUGAGUCCACUGUUUUUCGGGCCAAUGGCUCAUCGUGGUGACGUCACAAUGGAGGACGAUUCCCAAAACUUCUGCCUGUCCAUAGUUCUGGCAAGCACCCUCAGUACAGCUUUUCUGUUUCCUCUUCAGAGUUAUAAUCUCUAAACACCCUACAACAAAAAUUAACCUGAAACCACACUUCUCCUAUACUGAUCCAAUUAAGAAUUUAAGGAAUGAAUUUUUGUCUCAUCUGCAUAGCAGAGUGAGAUUAUAGGCGCCGCUUUUCUGGCAGCGACGGCGUCAACACCAAAUCUUAACCGAAGGUCAAUUUUUGUCUCGCCUGCAUAGCAGAGCGAGACUAUAGGCGCCGCUUUUCCGACGGCGGCGGCGGCGGCGUCAACAUCAAAUCUUAACCUAAGGUUAAGUUUUUUAAAUGACAUCAUAACUUAGAAAGUAUAUGGACCUAGAUCAUGAAACUUGGACAUAAGGUUAAUAAAGUAUUACUGAACAUCCUGCCUGAGUUUCAGGUCACAUGACCAAGGUCAAAGGUCAUUUAGGGUCAAUGAACUUAGACCAUGUUGGGAAAAUUAUUUUCAAAAUCUUAACCGAAGGUUAAGUUUUUGAAAUGACAUCAUAACUUAGAAAGUAUAUGGACCUAGUUCAUGAAACUUGGGCAUAAGGUUAAUCAAGUAUUAGUGGACAUCCUGCUCGAGUUUCAGGUCACGUGACCAAGGUCAAAGGUCAUUUAGGGUCAAUGAACUUUGGUCAAGUUGGGGGUAUUUGUUGAAUUACUAUCAUAACUUUGAAAAUAUAUGGAUCUAGUCCAUGAAACUUGGACAUAAGGUUAAUCAAGUAUUAGUGAACAUCCUGCUUGAGUUUCAGGUCACAUGACCAAGGUCAAAGGUCAUUUAGGGUCAAUGAACUUUGGCCAAGUUGGGGGUAUUUGUUGAAUUACCAUCAUAACUUUGAAAAUUUAUGGAUCUAGUUUAUGAAACUUGGACAUUAGGUUAAUCAAGUACCACUGAAUAUCCUGUGCGAGUUUCAGGUCACAUGACUAUGGUCAAUGGUCAUUUAAGGUCAAUGAACUUUGGCCGUGUUGGGGGUAUUUGUUAAAUUACCAUCCUAACUGAAAGUUUAUGGAUCUAGUUCAUAAAACUUGGACAUAAGAGUAAUCAAGUAUCACUGAACAUCCUGUACGAGUUUCAGGUCACAUGACUAUGGUCAAAGGUCAUUAAAGGUCAAUGAACUUUGGCCGUGUUGGGGGUAUUUGUUGAAUUACCAUCCUAACUCUGAAAGUUUAUGGAUCUAGUUCAUAAAACUUGGGAUAUAAGAGUAAUCAAGCAUCACUGAGCAUCCCCUGUGAGUUUCAGGUCACAAAACCAAGUCAAAGGUCAGUUAAGGUCAAUAAACUUAGGCCAUGUUGGGGUAAUUGUUGAAGUGCCAUCAUAACUUUGAAAGUUUAUGGAUAGAGUGAAUGAAAUGUGGACAUGGGUGUAGUUGACAGUCUUAAGUCUCUGUUCAAAUGUAAUUUAUGGUCAAUGAACGUGGUAUUAUGUCAUUAUAUGAAUGAUGUUUUUUUUAAUGAUUAUUUUAUAGUAGUUUUCAAAGUUAGCACUGCUGCUAUAUUAAAUUGCGUAAUGCAGGCGAGACUGCCAGAGGCGUUCCACUUGUUUGAAAUGAUAGCAUAACUUAGUAUAUGGACCUAGUUCAUGAAACUUGGACAUAAGGUUAAUCAAGUAUUACUGAACAUCCUGCCCGAGUUUCAAGUCACAUGACCAAGGUCAAAGGUCAUUUAGGGUCAAUGAACUUUGGCUAAGUUUGGGGUUGAAUUACCAUCAUAACUUUGAAAGUUUAUGGAUCUGAUUCAUGAAACUUGGACAUGAGUAAUCCAGUAUCAUUAACAUCCUGUGCGAGUUUCAGGUCACAUGACCAAUGUCAAAGGUCAAUGGACUUUGGCCAUGUUGGGGGUAUUUGUUGAAUAACCAUCUGUCAGAAGCUUAUUCAAACUCCCCUUAGCCUAUUUGGUUGAGUAACUCCUUAAUUUGUUUAUGAAUAGACCAAACCUAACUGAUAGAGUAGGCAACCCCUCACUGAGUUUGAUAGCUAUUGUGUGUGUGCAGUGCAUAGGGCAAUGCACAUGAGGGUGACCAGAUUUCACAAAAUGAAAUACGGGACAAUCAACAAAAAACAGAUCAACAAAGAAGGCUACACAGUGUUAGACUUGUGAAAAAAAAUAUAAAGAAUUGGAAGGGAGGGUGAACGAAAGAAUGAAGGAAAGAAAAAAAAGACGAAAGAAAAUAUAUGAAUGAGAAGAAAGAAAAAAAUGAAGGAGAAAUGAAGGAAAAAAUAGAAUACAAGAAAUUUAGAAUAAAAAAGGAUGAAAGAAAGAAUAAAAGAGAGAAAAAAAGUUUCCGUUAUUCUUUGAAUUGAAUAUAGAAAGAAAGAAAAAAAAGGAAGGGAAGAUGAAUAAAUGUGUGAAAGACAAAAUAAAG